RNAcentral lists this ribosomal RNA (1372 nucleotides) under Klebsiella pneumoniae. Its description in RNAcentral is "bacterial SSU rRNA". It matches the Rfam family "Bacterial small subunit ribosomal RNA", at positions 8 to 1372 of the family's 1533-position model. The record is from RNAcentral. Lineage: Bacteria; Pseudomonadati; Pseudomonadota; Gammaproteobacteria; Enterobacterales; Enterobacteriaceae.
AGAGUUUGAUCAUGGCUCAGAUUGAACGCUGGCGGCAGGCCUAACACAUGCAAGUCGAGCGGUAGCACAGAGAGCUUGCUCUCGGGUGACGAGCGGCGGACGGGUGAGUAAUGUCUGGGAAACUGCCUGAUGGAGGGGGAUAACUACUGGAAACGGUAGCUAAUACCGCAUAACGUCGCAAGACCAAAGUGGGGGACCUUCGGGCCUCAUGCCAUCAGAUGUGCCCAGAUGGGAUUAGCUAGUAGGUGGGGUAACGGCUCACCUAGGCGACGAUCCCUAGCUGGUCUGAGAGGAUGACCAGCCACACUGGAACUGAGACACGGUCCAGACUCCUACGGGAGGCAGCAGUGGGGAAUAUUGCACAAUGGGCGCAAGCCUGAUGCAGCCAUGCCGCGUGUGUGAAGAAGGCCUUCGGGUUGUAAAGCACUUUCAGCGGGGAGGAAGGCGGUGAGGUUAAUAACCUCAUCGAUUGACGUUACCCGCAGAAGAAGCACCGGCUAACUCCGUGCCAGCAGCCGCGGUAAUACGGAGGGUGCAAGCGUUAAUCGGAAUUACUGGGCGUAAAGCGCACGCAGGCGGUCUGUCAAGUCGGAUGUGAAAUCCCCGGGCUCAACCUGGGAACUGCAUUCGAAACUGGCAGGCUAGAGUCUUGUAGAGGGGGGUAGAAUUCCAGGUGUAGCGGUGAAAUGCGUAGAGAUCUGGAGGAAUACCGGUGGCGAAGGCGGCCCCCUGGACAAAGACUGACGCUCAGGUGCGAAAGCGUGGGGAGCAAACAGGAUUAGAUACCCUGGUAGUCCACGCCGUAAACGAUGUCGAUUUGGAGGUUGUGCCCUUGAGGCGUGGCUUCCGGAGCUAACGCGUUAAAUCGACCGCCUGGGGAGUACGGCCGCAAGGUUAAAACUCAAAUGAAUUGACGGGGGCCCGCACAAGCGGUGGAGCAUGUGGUUUAAUUCGAUGCAACGCGAAGAACCUUACCUGGUCUUGACAUCCACAGAACUUUCCAGAGAUGGAUUGGUGCCUUCGGGAACUGUGAGACAGGUGCUGCAUGGCUGUCGUCAGCUCGUGUUGUGAAAUGUUGGGUUAAGUCCCGCAACGAGCGCAACCCUUAUCCUUUGUUGCCAGCGGUCCGGCCGGGAACUCAAAGGAGACUGCCAGUGAUAAACUGGAGGAAGGUGGGGAUGACGUCAAGUCAUCAUGGCCCUUACGACCAGGGCUACACACGUGCUACAAUGGCAUAUACAAAGAGAAGCGACCUCGCGAGAGCAAGCGGACCUCAUAAAGUAUGUCGUAGUCCGGAUUGGAGUCUGCAACUCGACUCCAUGAAGUCGGAAUCGCUAGUAAUCGUAGAUCAGAAUGCUACGGUGAAUACGUU